Molecule: transfer RNA, 76 nt
Filed under: Gammaproteobacteria bacterium
Lineage: Bacteria; Pseudomonadati; Pseudomonadota; Gammaproteobacteria
Description: tRNA-Met
Rfam family: tRNA
About the family: Transfer RNA (tRNA) molecules are approximately 80 nucleotides in length. Their secondary structure includes four short double-helical elements and three loops (D, anti-codon, and T loops).
Source: RNAcentral
CGCGGGAUAGAGCAGUUGGUAGCUCGUCGGGCUCAUAACCCGAAGGUCAUAGGUUCAAAUCCUGUCCCCGCUACCA